Molecule: ribosomal RNA, 465 nt
Filed under: uncultured Klebsiella sp.
Lineage: Bacteria; Pseudomonadati; Pseudomonadota; Gammaproteobacteria; Enterobacterales; Enterobacteriaceae
Description: bacterial SSU rRNA
Rfam family: Bacterial small subunit ribosomal RNA
Source: RNAcentral
CCUACGGGAGGCAGCAGUGGGGAAUAUUGCACAAUGGGCGCAAGCCUGAUGCAGCCAUGCCGCGUGUGUGAAGAAGGCCUUCGGGUUGUAAAGCACUUUCAGCGGGGAGGAAGGCGGUGAGGUUAAUAACCUCAUCGAUUGACGUUACCCGCAGAAGAAGCACCGGCUAACUCCGUGCCAGCAGCCGCGGUAAUACGGAGGGUGCAAGCGUUAAUCGGAAUUACUGGGCGUAAAGCGCACGCAGGCGGUCUGUCAGGUCGGAUGUGAAAUCCCCGGGCUCAACCUGGGAACUGCAUUCGAAACUGGCAGGCUAGAGUCUUGUAGAGGGGGGUAGAAUUCCAGGUGUAGCGGUGAAAUGCGUAGAGAUCUGGAGGAAUACCGGUGGCGAAGGCGGCCCCCUGGACAAAGACUGACGCUCAGGUGCGAAAGCGUGGGGAGCAAACAGGAUUAGAUACCCUUGUAGUC